AAAAAAAAAAAAUCAUGGUUUGAAAAUUUAUUACAAAUCGCACAAAAUUAAACGUUGUUCACCCCUACUAAAAUCAAUGAUAUGUUUUCCAUAUGGUGCAUGCACCUACAAAAUGGAUGAAAAAAACAUGUUAAACCCGAUACUUAUUGGUUUCGUCUUGAACGGGAUGAGGAUUCUCCACGUAAUUAGGUACUCAAGAUAGGGAAGUGAUGAUGGACGUCUCUUUGAGUCGAGGAUGGGAUUAGGCCAAGGAUGGGGAUGAGGAACAUGGUAACUGUCCCGCAACCUAUCCCAUUUAAAUUAAAAAAAAAAAAAAAGGAUUAACAAUAGAAUACCCCUAGAAACGUUUUCAAGUGCGAUAUACCCCCUUACCUAUUGGAAAAUCACAGAAAACCCCUUAAGUGAAACCUUGUCGUAUUUAGGCAAUUAAGGACUCGAGACGAGGAGCAACAAUUACUGUUCUCUUGAUAAAGGGUAGGGGCUACUUCUUUUCGUCUUUUUAAUUCCUUUCAAGGCCUAACUGCACAACCUUUUUUGUGUGAAAACCCCCUACAAGUUCAAUUUCGUUAAUUCAACUGUUAAAAACAGUAAAAAUUAUCAAAUAAUUGAAUUUGUGGUCCCAAACUUUUUAUUUUUUUAUUUUUGCAAAUUACACCAAAAUCUUUUAUUUGUAUCACCCACAAUCCCAAACCUUUAAAACUUUAUCCUUUU
Molecule: long non-coding RNA, 711 nt
Filed under: Olea europaea (common olive)
Lineage: Eukaryota; Viridiplantae; Streptophyta; Magnoliopsida; Lamiales; Oleaceae
Description: long non-coding RNA (OEUR_LNC009346)
Source: RNAcentral